RNAcentral lists this unclassified non-coding RNA (329 nucleotides) under soil metagenome. RNAcentral's name for it is "partial contains 5.8S ribosomal RNA, internal transcribed spacer 2, and large subunit ribosomal RNA". The stretch from base 1 to 120 matches the Rfam family "5.8S ribosomal RNA", at positions 35 to 154 of the family's 154-position model. The record is from RNAcentral.
GAUGAAGAACGUAGCGAAAUGCGAUAAGUAAUGUGAAUUGCAGAAUUCAGUGAAUCAUCGAAUCUUUGAACGCACAUUGCGCCCCUUGGUAUUCCGGGGGGCAUGUCUCUUCCAGCGUCAUUUCACCCCUCAAGCUCUGCUUGGUUUUGGGCCGCGCCGGCAACGGCGGGCCUCGAAAAUAGUGGCGACGCCAUCGUGCUCUCAGCGUAGUAAUUCUUCUCGCUGUUGGGUCCCGGUGGUCGUCCGCCAGCAACCCCCAACUUUCUUAAGUUUGACCUGGGAUGAGGUAGGGAUACCCGCUGAACUUAAGCAUAUCAAUAAGCGGAGGA